UCUUUGCUAAUAUUAAAUGUUCACCUACUUUCAGCCCUACCGGCCGGAUCAAUUUGUCCUCUUUUUUAUUAAAAUAAUAGCCUCCUUUUUUAUUGAUAAUACCCUGUUACUUUCCCCAUGGUACAAUAUUAAUUUCGUAAAUUAUACCCAUAAGGCUCCAAUUAUUCAUAGGGAAAAACUUAGGCGCAGUACCAUAAGUUCUGUAGGUACUGUUAGCCAAUGAAAAUAGAACACGUAUAUUAUUUUUCCCACUCACUAACUCUUUCAUUGACUCCGUUAACGUUCAUGGAUCUCUCACAUCCUUUUACCUCAAAAACAAAAGAAUAAAUCCUCUUGACUCUCCAUUCUCCCCUCUCGGACUCACUUCGAUCAUCACCCACUUGUCAAUUCUUCGUCGCCGGAUCCACCGCCCCUCGUGGUUUCUCCAUUAGUGUUGAGGGUUGAAUCAGACAAAAGGGGUAGUAGUGGCCUGUCGUCGUUAGCAUCUGAAAAAAGUGUUUUUUCCUCUUCCUUGUUCCACGAUCUCUGACUCUCUAUUAUAGUAUUAUGGGUUUACUGAUUCUCGAACAACCAGAUCAUAUGGUGAAAGAGAUCCAGUCUUUUUGUCCCUUAUAAAUCAUUCCUCUUCUCUUUCUUGAUCUUAAACCCUUAAUUUGUUCUGAUGAUGAGAAAUUUAAUGAGGCCACAAAGUCAAAAUUUAUCUAUUGUGAUGGUAACCUUCCAGAUCUGGAUACAAACCUUUCCCCCUUUUCAUGCGUAACUCUCUCAUCGCUCUGCAUCUCAAAAGCUAUUUUCAAAAUAUGUGAUGGUAGUAACUCCAUGUAAUCAAGCAAAUUUAUCAAUGAUUUCGUGAUUUUCUAUCAUAAUAUUUGUUUCAGAUCUGAAAUGGUAGUAACUUCAUGGAAGAUUAAUUUUGACUUCAACGGAAUUUCUCAAAGGAAAACAUCACUUUGGAGUUGCAGAAGUUCAAGGAAACUGAAAAAGUCUUUUUUUCGUACAUUCAUGGAAGAGUAAUUAACAGCGUGAAGUUUAUUAGAUUUGAAUAUUAACGAGGUGAAAAAAUAAUACACGUGUUCUAUAUUCAUUGGCCAACAGUACCAACAGGACUUAUGGUACUGCACCUAAGUUUUUCCCUUAUUCAUAAAGCUUAAAGUUUAAACUUUGUUCUUGUAAAACCUGUGAUUGUUUAAGAGAAAUAAACUCGGUUAAUUUCUUGGUUUAGUGUGCUUUAAUGCUUGUUUAUGUGAUCUGUAUGUGUGGUUUCGCAUGAUGAAUUUUAUCUAAUAGAAAUAAUACUUUGAUUAUUAAUAUCGAAGUUAUUUUCCAAGCGUUUCAUUCUUCUUUCCUGGGAGAAUUCAGUUGCACUUCGGAAAACGAUAGAACCGACGCGUUUUCACAUAGAGCACCUUUUUGUCAUCGAAUUAUUAUUCGGGCAUGAAUUAAAUAUUUUCCUUAUCAUUAUCAUAAUCUACGUGCAAUUUCAAGAAUUUCGACUGUACUAUCGAUAUAGGGUCGAGAAACUCGUUCGGUAGUGUUUUCGGCUCGAAAACUAGUCGAGUUCGGCUCGUAAACGAACCAAUGUGAAAUCUGAUCAGAUUUGGGAGGGAAACUCUGUAAGGGAUUUUUGUUAGUGGAAUAAGACAAGCUUGGAUUUGAAUUAAAUGGGCCAACACAAGAAGACAAAACCUUCACCAUCAACCUUUUUCCAUAAAUGGUAUGCAUGGAAGGAUGGACCAAAGCCAAACCCACAAUUCUUUCCAUUUUCGUCCAACCCUCUCCCUUAAGGCACUUCAGCUAAUUGCUUUCUCAUUUGGUGAUAGGAAUGAGUGAAAACUAGAGAGAAGAGUAAGAGAGAAGUUAGAGAGAAAGAGAGAACAUCAUCUUAAUCUUUUCAUCUUUUCUUCUCACAAAAACUGAAUCUUGACCUUGAUCACCUCUAAACACCAUCAAGAACUCACCUUUUGUCUUUCGUUCCUUCACAAAAUAGUUAGCAUUCAAGGUGAAGAACACCUUGUUGAUUUCGUUAUGAGGAGCUAAAGCUUGGAAGGAAAGCGUUCAAGGUAAGGGCACUUCGGGUCUUGGACUUUAGCGUGCAAAAUUGUCUACUAAGAUUGUAUGAAACUUGUAUGAUAAAUGAUGAGCAUGCUAAUGCCAUGAGAAACUAAUGGAGAUGGAUUUAGUAUGAUAUAUGAACCUUAUAAUCAUGUAAAGGGACUAAAAUGUUAAGGCUUGGGCUAAAAAUCAAGUUAAGAAAAGGUAUGAAACGCGAAAGAGGUACAGGACCGCGAUGCAUGUGCAUGGGUAAGUGGCGCACAUGUGUGGGAGACAUGUAGCUAUGGCUCAUGUGCGUGGGUAGAUGGCGCACAUGCAUGGGGCUACUGUCCCUUCAACACCAAGUGACGUCUUUUGCUACUUUUGAAUUGUUUUGUAGGCACCUAUGGUUAAGGGUUGUAUCAUUGAAUUUUACGCAUGAUAUACAUGAAUUUUAUGAGUUAAGAAUGCAUGAUUAACAUGAGAAAUUUAUUAUGAACAUGAUGAGUUAAGGAUGGCUUAUAUGCUUAGAUGUUUAAAUAACAUGAAUACGAAUGAUGUAGUGCUUGCAUGCCUUGAUGUUUGAGAACAAGAAUACUUGAUGAACAUAACAUGCUGAACCUUAGAAUAUCUAUGAGGAGUAUAUGUCUUGCUUUAAGUUCACAUGAUGAUUAUGAAGUAUGCUUGAUAGUUAUCAAUUUGUAUGCGAUGCAUGAGUGAUGUUGAUCGAUCGAGAAUCGAAUGUGAAACCUAAGAUGGUCGUGAUGGAAUGGAUGUGGAGGUUUUCGAUCGUGGCGGGGUCGGGCAGCAGCGUCAUGGUGCUGAUCAUCGUCAUCCAUCCACACUGUUCUGUGACAGGAUCUCAGGGAUGGUGACAUAUAGUCAGGGCCUGAUUCUUCUGUUGUGCUGGAUAUUAUGGAUUGGACUACCGAUGGGGUUUGGCUACCUAUGUCGUUCUUAAGGAUUUUGAGGCGAGAAUGGAUGCUUUGCGACGCGGGGACUAUGCGCCUUUUGAGAGGCGUGAUAUUCAAAUGUCUUUCUAGUGGUUUAUACCUUGAGAUAUACAUAAAUCUUUAUUGUACAUGUUGAUGUGUCACUAUGGAGGGCAGGGGCAAUGUCACAGAAAGAACAUUAAUUAAAGUGAUAAACUGUAAAACUGAUUUUAUGUUAAUGGACGUGUCAGACCGUGGGGGAAAUGUAAUGCAAAGAGAAACAAAAUUAAAGUGAUAAACAAUAAAAAAGAUUAUAUUAGCAUAACAUUUUAUGGCAACAACCCCUUACUUCGAACGAACAUUCGUCAAUGCUUGCUCACACCUCUCGAAGAAAAUGGAGAUAGAGCACUUCACAUAAGACUUAGGAGUGUGUACACUAAAAGAGCAUUAUAUUCAUCUCAAUUAGCUUUUGCCACAACACCGGCGCUAAUUAGUGGUGCCCACUAGGGUGGGCAAGGUUUUUUUUGGUCUACCGGUGCACCACAUUUAAGCACCGUUAGAUUAAAGAAUAUUCUAAGAAUCUUUAAUUGAACGGUUAGGAUUGAAUGGAUGGUAAAAGGACAAAAAUGUAAUAUUCUUUAUCUUAUUAAUUAAAAAAAAUACAUAAGUUCUAAUUUUAUCUUUUAUCUUUCAUGAAUUAAAGCACCAGUCAUCUUCAUCUUCUCCAUCUUCUUGUGAUUUCAAUCCAAACUUAGUUAGUAGGUGCUUUUCAAAUCAUGCAAUCUAGUAAGUUUAUUGCUGAUUUGGUAAGAGAGGUUCCUACGUGAAGUUUUAAACAUGACACACUGGGUGGGGCAAUUAAAAUGAAAACAAAAAAAUCUGAAGAAAACGAAACACGCUCACAGGAAAGAAAGAAGCAAAGGGAAAACAAAACAAAGGAGAUUAUCGAGCUUCUUGGAGAUUAACUCGCUUUUCACCGUUUUCGAACAAUUUAUCGAAACCCUUUAGGGAUGGGUUCUGUUCUGGUCUAAGGUAUAACAAUAGGAAUAAAGUACCCUUGAUAAACCCUAGCAGAGCUAAAAUAAGUAAGCAAUAUGUAUAUAAGGAAAUUAUCUCAUAAAUGGUAAAAAAGAUCCCUAGUACAAGGUGAGGACACCAUUUUUAUAGUAGGAGUGAUCCUUAUCUAGAAUGUUCAUGGAUUUGGGCCUUACAUGUAGGGCCCAAAUCCCUAUGCUGAAUAAGACAAAUGCAUAUGUGCACAAUAUAACAAGACAAAACAACUCGGGCCCACAUCUUCAAGUUGGGGUCUACGUCCUAAUCAACUUAGUGUUGGCCUUACCGGGCGAGUCAACGGGCUUGUAAUGACCCGCCCGGUCCACAAGCCCACAAGACAUGAAGCUCCAUCUUUUCUGGAACUGAAAUGUCUUAGUCAAAGCAAAAAUAUUCUUGCAGCCCUUUACGCGAUCGCUCCGCCUUAUCUGACCUAGCCCACAAGCCCAUAAGACAAGAGGCUUCACUUCUUUUGGGGACUGCUUGUUUUGUGGAAUUCCCGCCAGGUCGCCCAAACUAUUCGACUGGUGUCGUUUCAUCUAACGUUGCACCGUUACCGAAAAGUUGUCAUCAUUAGCAUUCAACUGCAGCAGUCUUUUCACGCGGGAUUCGAGCGAUUGCCUCGAUUUGCGAAAACGUUCGAAAAUGGUCACGUCUUUUCCACUUUCCUUCUCUCUCCUUACUUGACUUCCCUAUAAAACCCCAAAUCCUCACUUUUCAUUCUCUUUUACUGCUCCUUACUUUCAACCCUUGUCCUUCUGUUGGAGUUCUCUGUUCUCAGCGGCCGCUUGCUACUCCGGUGACUUUUCAGUGCUCCGACCACCAUUGCUUGCUGCAUUCCUAUUACUUCGCCUAUCUUCGGUCAGUUCCUCUCUUUUCUCUUUACUUUUCUUGUUUUUCCGUUCAUCUCCUUUUCAUGAAGCUUCCCAAAAUGUCUGCAAAAGGCCAAUCUUGCUCUUCUCUUUCCCUUGAUUCUGUUUCUGAUGAUGAUGACAAAACCACCGUUAACCAAAAGGUUAUUACGGUUGACUCUGACUCUGAGUCCCACAACUCGCCCUCUUCCUCAGAUCCCGCCCAAGAAAGACAGCCUUUAUAACCUCUCACCUUUCCACCGAUAACCCCUCGACUUCUGAAGGUUGGCGCACUAGUGACAAGUGUAUUGAUGACAAGUGUCUCUAUCGUUCCGUUUGGAACAGUGUUCAAGCACUGAACAAUAAUCGCCUUACCGCCCGGGGUUUCACCAGGGUGAACUCCGAAACCGGCCAUAACGACGACCUAUCCUUGAACGUCGCCCCUUGCGAUGACAAUGAAGUCGUAACCCUUAAACCUUCUGGAGCCGACGGAGAGCCCGCCUGGUUCUAUCUUCAUGGAUAUAUUUUUACCGAGCUUUUCAUGAAGCUUCCAUUUUCCAACUUUGUCUGUGACGUGCUUACUUUCCUAAAUGUCGCCCCCUGCCAGCUUCUACCGAACGCCUGGGGCUUCAUUCAUUGCUUUGAGUUGUUGUGUGAGCAGCUAAACUUUGCCCCCACUUACCCUUUAUUUUUCUUUUUCUAUAAGACUAGCAUCGCCAAACCUUCUUGCGUGUCUUUUGUUCCUUUGUCGGCCCGCCCCAAUAUGGCCAUUUUCAAACCCUUAAAGAGUAACUUUUAACACUGGCAAAAAAAGUUUUUUAAGAUCGUUCACUCGCCCGAAAUUCCAAACCUCAUAUUUGAACAAAAGGACCACCCCUUGUUUCCUCUACAUUGGACCGUGAACCCUCGGUGGGAUAUCACUGUCGUGCUAGAGGCGCUGACCGAGGAGGAGAAACAGGUCGCCUUAUACAUCCUUACCCUUCCUCAAAUUUCCUGUUCUGACCUUCUUCAGGCCACCAAAGAUGAGAAACUUCCGAACCUUUUUGGUAAGUCUAGAUUUAUUGUGUAUGCCUUGUAAUGAGCUUUCCUUGAUCGCCUGUUAUUAACUAGUGCUUUUUUUUUUUUUACUGUUCGCAGCUGAAAUGGGCAAGUCCAAGGGCGGCGUCAAUGCUGACAGCAUGCAAGCCUUAAUCGCCAGUCAGGUCGAUGCUGCUAAGGGACACAGGAAAACAAGAAGAAAGAUUUGAAGGGUGACAAGAAGAAUAAGUCGCCCUUGGUUGAUGAGCGUGAC
Lotus japonicus is the source of this 6155-nucleotide RNA transcript. RefSeq lists it as uncharacterized. The transcript is spliced from 2 exons. The record is from RefSeq and is a predicted model, not a curated record. NCBI's taxonomy places the organism in Eukaryota, Viridiplantae, Streptophyta, Magnoliopsida, Fabales, Fabaceae.